GGUGGCUCAGUAGUAGAGUGUUUGCCUUGCAUGCAUGAGGUCCUGGGUUCGAUUCCUCAGCACCA
RNAcentral lists this transfer RNA (65 nucleotides) under Dipodomys ordii (Ord's kangaroo rat). It matches the Rfam family "tRNA". From Rfam's summary of the family: Transfer RNA (tRNA) molecules are approximately 80 nucleotides in length. The record is from Rfam by way of RNAcentral. Lineage: Eukaryota; Metazoa; Chordata; Mammalia; Rodentia; Heteromyidae.